UGGGGAAUAUUGCGCAAUGGGCGAAAGCCUGACGCAGCAACGCCGCGUGCGGGACGACGGCCUUCGGGUUGUAAACCGCUUUCAGCAGGGACGAAACUGACGGUACCUGCAGAAGAAGCACCGGCUAACUACGUGCCAGCAGCCGCGGUGAUACGUAGGGUGCGAGCGUUGUCCGGAAUUAUUGGGCGUAAAGAGCUCGUAGGCGGUCUGUCGCGUCGGAAGUGAAAACUCGGGGCUCAACCCCGAGCCUGCUUUCGAUACGGGCAGACUUGAGGAAUGUAGGGGAGAACGGAAUUCCUGGUGGAGCGGUGGAAUGCGCAGAUAUCAGGAGGAACACCAGUGGCGAAAGGCGGUUCUCUGGGACAUUAACUGACGCUGAGGAGCGAAAGCGUGGGGAGCAAACAGGCUUAGAUACCCUGGUAGUCACGCCGUAAACGGUGGGCACUAGGUGUGGGGGACAUUCCACGUUCUCCGUGCCGAAGCUAACGCAUUAAGUGCCCGCCU
Molecule: ribosomal RNA, 504 nt
Filed under: uncultured Actinomycetes bacterium
Lineage: Bacteria; Bacillati; Actinomycetota; Actinomycetes
Description: bacterial SSU rRNA
Rfam family: Bacterial small subunit ribosomal RNA
Source: RNAcentral